UGAGUAAGUCAAACAGUCGCAUGCAUUUUGCAUGAGGAAAGUCCGAGCUCCAUAGAGCACAGAUGCUGGAUAACGUCCAGUGGGGGCGACCCUAAGGAUAGUGCAACAGAGAUAUACCGCCUGAUUAUUUCAGGUAAGGGUGGAAAGGCGAGGUAAGAGCUCACCAGUAACUAGGUGACUAGUUAGCUAUGUAAACCCCAUCUGGAGCAAGACCAAGUAGAGACGAUGAAAAGUAGCUGCUCGCUACUGUCUCGUAGGUAGGUCGCUUGAACUUAUUGGCAACGAUAAGUCUAGAUAGAUGACUGUUUAAUACAGAACUCGGCUCAUAGAUUUACUCAAUAU
This 342-nucleotide RNase P RNA is filed under the name Bacillota bacterium. RNAcentral describes it as "RNase P RNA component class A". It matches the Rfam family "Bacterial RNase P class A". Rfam says of the family: Ribonuclease P (RNase P) is a ubiquitous endoribonuclease, found in archaea, bacteria and eukarya as well as chloroplasts and mitochondria. Its best characterised activity is the generation of mature 5'-ends of tRNAs by cleaving the 5'-leader elements of precursor-tRNAs. Lineage: Bacteria; Bacillati; Bacillota. The record is from RNAcentral.